UACGAAGGGGGCUAGCGUUGUUCGGAAUUACUGGGCGUAAAGCGUGCGCAGGCGGUUUUGUAAGCCAGAUGUGAAAUCCCCGGGCUCAACCUGGGAAUGGCAUUUGGGACUGCAAGGCUGGAGUACGGCAGAGGAGACUGGAAUUCCUGGUGUAGCAGUGAAAUGCGUAGAUAUCAGGAGGAAUACCGAUGGCGAAGGCAGGUCUCUGGGCUGAUACUGACGCUCAUUGCACGAAAGCGUGGGGAGCAAACAGG
This 254-nucleotide ribosomal RNA is filed under the name uncultured bacterium. RNAcentral describes it as "partial 16S ribosomal RNA". It matches the Rfam family "Bacterial small subunit ribosomal RNA", at positions 524 to 776 of the family's 1533-position model. The record is from RNAcentral.